UGCGACCCCAGUCAGCG
Molecule: ribosomal RNA, 17 nt
Filed under: Vallaris solanacea
Lineage: Eukaryota; Viridiplantae; Streptophyta; Magnoliopsida; Gentianales; Apocynaceae
Description: partial 28S ribosomal RNA
Source: RNAcentral